CAGUCGCCGCGGUAAUACGAAGGGUGCAAGCGUUAAUCGGAAUUACUGGGCGUAAAGCGUGCGUAGGCGGUGAGUUAAGUCUGCUGUGAAAUCCCCGGGCUCAACCUGGGAAUGGCAGUGGAUACUGGCUCGCUAGAGUGUGUCAGAGGAUGGUGGAAUUCCCGGUGUAGCGGUGAAAUGCGUAGAGAUCGGGAGGAACAUCAGUGGCGAAGGCGGCCAUCUGGGACAACACUGACGCUGAUGGACGAAAGCGUGGGGAGCGAACAGGAUUAGAUACCCCAGUAGUCCCUGUCUCUUAUAC
Molecule: ribosomal RNA, 301 nt
Filed under: uncultured bacterium
Lineage: Bacteria
Description: partial 16S ribosomal RNA
Rfam family: Bacterial small subunit ribosomal RNA
Source: RNAcentral